CCGCGCGUAGCUCAGCCUGGUAGAGCAACUGCCUUUUAAGCAGAUGGUCGGGGGUUCGAAUCCCUCCGCGCGGACCA
This 77-nucleotide transfer RNA is filed under the name bacterium. RNAcentral describes it as "tRNA-Lys". It matches the Rfam family "tRNA". From Rfam's summary of the family: Transfer RNA (tRNA) molecules are approximately 80 nucleotides in length. The record is from RNAcentral.